Molecule: ribosomal RNA, 795 nt
Filed under: uncultured Bacteroidota bacterium
Lineage: Bacteria; Pseudomonadati; Bacteroidota
Description: bacterial SSU rRNA
Rfam family: Bacterial small subunit ribosomal RNA
Source: RNAcentral
GUUCUUCGGAACUAGAGACCGGCGCACGGGUGCGUAACGCGUAUGCAAUCUACCUUUUACAGAGGGAUAGCCCAGAGAAAUUUGGAUUAAUACCUCAUAGUAUGUGAGAAUCGCAUGGUUUUCACAUUAAAGUUCCAACGGUAAAAGAUGAGCAUGCGUCCCAUUAGCUAGAUGGUAAGGUAACGGCUUACCAUGGCGACGAUGGGUAGGGGUCCUGAGAGGGAGAUCCCCCACACUGGUACUGAGACACGGACCAGACUCCUACGGGAGGCAGCAGUGAGGAAUAUUGGACAAUGGGCGCAAGCCUGAUCCAGCCAUGCCGCGUGCAGGAUGACGGUCCUAUGGAUUGUAAACUGCUUUUGUACAGGAAGAAACACUCCCUCGUGAGGGAGCUUGACGGUACUGUAAGAAUAAGGAUCGGCUAACUCCGUGCCAGCAGCCGCGGUAAUACGGAGGAUCCAAGCGUUAUCCGGAAUCAUUGGGUUUAAAGGGUCCGUAGGCGGUUUAAUAAGUCAGUGGUGAAAGCCCAUCGCUCAACGGUGGAACGGCCAUCGAUACUGUUAAACUUGAAUUAUUAGGAAGUAACUAGAAUAUGUAGUGUAGCGGUGAAAUGCUUAGAGAUUACAUGGAAUACCAAUUGCAAAGGCAGGUUACUACUAAUGGAUUGACGCUGAUGGACGAAAGCGUGGGUAGCGAACAGGAUUAGAAACCCUGGUAGUCCACGCCGUAAACGAUGGAUACUAGCUGUUGGGAGCAAUCUCAGUGGCUAAGCGAAAGUGAUAAGUAUCCCACCUG